RNAcentral lists this ribosomal RNA (464 nucleotides) under uncultured bacterium. Its description in RNAcentral is "partial 16S ribosomal RNA". It matches the Rfam family "Bacterial small subunit ribosomal RNA", at positions 29 to 507 of the family's 1533-position model. The record is from RNAcentral.
ACGAACGCUGGCGGCGUGCUUAACACAUGCAAGUCGAACGGAAAGGCCCUGCUUGCAGGGUACUCGAGUGGCGAACGGGUGAGUAACACGUGGGUGAUCUGCCCUGCACUUCGGGAUAAGCCUGGGAAACUGGGUCUAAUACCGGAUAGGAGCCAUUUUUAGUGUGAUGGUUGGAAAGUUUUUUCGGUGUAGAAUGAGCUCGCGGCCUAUCAGCUUGUUGGUGGGGUAAUGGCCUACCAAGGCGGCGACGGGUAGCCGGCCUGAGAGGGUGGACGGCCACAUUGGGACUGAGAUACGGCCCAGACUCCUACGGGAGGCAGCAGUGGGGAAUAUUGCACAAUGGGCGCAAGCCUGAUGCAGCGACGCCGCGUGGGGGAUGACGGCCUUCGGGUUGUAAACUCCUUUCGCUAGGGACGAAGCUUUUUGUGACGGUACCUAGAUAAGAAGCACCGGCUAACUACGUG